GGGAUCCAGGCGCAGCCCCCAACUCUGCUCCCGCCCUGUGGGGGUGUGGAGCCAGCCACCGCGUCGCGCCUGCCUUCGGGUUCCUCUGCUCCUGAUGCUCUCCGGCCCUAUCCACCUUCGGGCUUCCCCGCACAGCUCCCUCCCUACCUGCGCCACCCCGCGAGCUCGGGCUCUGAUUCCGGUCUCCGCGUGUGUCCUUGUUGUCUACAUCUUUACCUCCAACUUCAUUCUGUCGUUGUGGGUGUCUUUCUGGCGCCCUGUCACGUCUGUUCCUCCCCGUGUAUCUGUCUAUGUGUCUGUCUACCUGUCUUUCGGUGGGUCUCUUUCUCUCUCCACCUGUGUCUCUGACUCUCUCCCCUGGCCUCUCUCCUCUCUCCCGACUGGAUGGCUAGCCUCUUCGUCUCUUCCCUGCCCUUGCACUGUCUCUUUGAUUAGGCCUGGAGGACGGACGCCAAGGGAUACCUAGGCUGGGUGGCUUCCGGAGGCGCACCUUCCCUGGACAGGAGUUAUUCCUUCUUUUCUCCUUAGAAAGAAAUGGGGCCAGCCAGGAUUCCUGCUGACUGCAUCCCAGCCAGAGCCCCAGGACGUGUCUUCUGGGUGACCUGAGGAGGAAAGAGCUCACACUUCCCAGGCAGUGGAGCCAGUCCAGGUUCAAGAGCUGCUCCCCCCACACACACCCCCCUGGUGUCCUUGGGCAAGUCACUUGACCUCUGCGGGCUCUCCUGCCCCUUAACAAGCAGACAACUUCUCCCCUGGCUUCCCCCACCACGUGGUGUGAGAGUCAUAUGAGACAGUGGUUGAAAAGUGCACAGGAAACUGUAAAAUUCUACAUCAGUGGGGGGAGGGAGCAUGCACAGGAGCGGACUGAGGCCAGGGCAGAGGGGAGAAUGUCGGCACCAGCAGAACCAACACCAGCCUAGAGUCUCUGUUUUACCUGCUCCACGCCAGCUCAGGGCCAGGCAUCUUGCACCCAUUACCCCCCACCAACCCCACUGUAGGGAGGAGAAAACAGGCCCAGAGAGGGCACGCUUGUGUCUCAUCAGUACAAUUGGAACCGGACCUGGAGCCUCACACCAGAAGCCAAGAAAGUCUUUUGUCCCUGCCCAGAUCGAGGCCUGGAGUUCACCAGGAAUGAGAAGCUAAGUUUGACGUGAGAAGGCCAGGAGUGCCAGAGUUUUCAUUUUCAUUGCCACUGAGACUUAGGAAGCCUUCUGCAGUGAGCAACGCUGGAAUGCUCUCAGCUCCUCUUCCUCUUGGCCUCAAACUCACCCAGGUGGAAGUUCCCAGGCGACAUAUGGAAGUCACCUAUAAUAUAACAGAGAUGUGGAAAUCCACUUCCAAACAAACACAAAUAUUGGAAUGGAGUGUUGCAAACCAAACCUCCCUCAGGGGCUGCCUAGUCCAGUCACCAAAAUAACCGAUGGAAACCAGUCAAGGCUCCUGGUUGGAGACAGGGUGGGGUCCCGUUCACCCAGUCUGCUCUGAAAGGCGAAGAGGGGAGUGGGUGCUGGAGAGUCAGCUCACGAAUAUCCCCCACUCAGCAGCUUGAAGAUUUGGGCAAGUACCUACCCUCUUGCAUUUAGCUUUAUCCUUGUUAAAGCAUUUGAGGUAAAUAGUAAUAAAAAUAUUUUAUAUGUGUAAAGACAAUGUUUUAAAACCUAUAAAUCAUCUAUGCUCACUCCAGAAAGUUUCACUGCAAAAAGAAAAAUUAAAUUAAAACACCCUGAAAUCUCAUCACAUAGAGAUAUCCCACUGAACACCUUGGAAUUUGCCUUUUCGUGUUUCAGAACAAGACAAAAACUCUGAAAGAAUGGGGUUAUAGGAUACCUAGUGAGGGCCCCUGACUAGUCUCAACACAGGAGCAUCUUCCCUAGUCUGAUCCUGAUGUUUAAGUCCUCUGAUUGCAUUGUCUCGUUUUCUCCUCUGGGUCGGGCUUAUUAUGAUCCCCAUUCUACAGAUAAUGAAACAAAGGCUUGGAGACCAAGUCAGGAGCAGGCAGCCAGGGUGAGCUUGCAGCCCAGGCCCCGAACCACGGUGCCAUGGGGUCUCCACCCAGGACACAGAGGAUGCACUGCUGCCACUCAUUCACCAAGUGCCCAGCAAGCACUUCUGGAGGGUAAGAGAGGCCAUGUGCCUCACCUCUAGUCCAGUCCAGUCCUUUUCCAGCUUCCCCCUAGGGAGUUCCAGAGGUCUCUGGGCACUAGAAGAAAGGAAGGCCAGUGGGUUUAAUGUUUACCACCCCAAAGUGCCAUGUCAUGGAAACCCGGGGACUCUGGCCUCUCCCACUACCUCUGAAGAUAGGGGUAGGUGCUCAGGGCAGGGCAGGCAGAGGGCAAACACUCGACCUCAGCUGCCAGCUCCUCCAGUUUUCUGUAUGGGUACAGGAUUGGAGUGAGCACGUGAUAGGUGGGCUCAGGCCUCCUCCCAGACGUCGCAACAAAAAACACUGUAGUAAUGGACAAUGGCCCAGACUCUGAAGUCAGACUGCCUUGGUUCGAAUCUGGCUCCACUAAGCUGUUUGACCUUGAGCAGGUGAGCCCAUCUGUGCCUCAGUUUCUUCACUGUGGAAUGGGAAUAAUAAUACCUACCACACAGA
Artibeus jamaicensis (Jamaican fruit-eating bat) is the source of this 2596-nucleotide long non-coding RNA. RefSeq lists it as uncharacterized. NCBI's taxonomy places the organism in Eukaryota, Metazoa, Chordata, Mammalia, Chiroptera, Phyllostomidae. The record is from RefSeq and is a predicted model, not a curated record. The transcript is spliced from 3 exons.